GGUUGACCUCGGAUCAGGUAGGGAUACCCGCUGAACUUAAGCAUAUCAAUAAGCGGAGGAAAAGAAACCAACAGGGAUUACCUCAGUAACGGCGAGUGAAGCGGUAAUAGCUCAAAUUUGAAAUCUGGUUCCUUGGGGAGC
This 141-nucleotide ribosomal RNA is filed under the name Bloxamia cyatheicola. RNAcentral describes it as "partial 28S ribosomal RNA". It matches the Rfam family "Eukaryotic large subunit ribosomal RNA", at positions 1 to 138 of the family's 3401-position model. Lineage: Eukaryota; Fungi; Ascomycota; Leotiomycetes; Helotiales; Bloxamiaceae. The record is from RNAcentral.